AAAUUGAAGAGUUUGAUCAUGGCUCAGAUUGAACGCUGGCGGCAGGCCUAACACAUGCAAGUCGAACGGUAACAGGAAACAGCUUGCUGAUUCGCUGACGAGUGGCGGACGGGUGAGUAAUGUCUGGGAAACUGCCUGAUGGAGGGGGAUAACUACUGGAAACGGUAGCUAAUACCGCAUAACGUCGCAAGACCAAAGAGGGGGACCUUCGGGCCUCUUGCCAUCGGAUGUGCCCAGAUGGGAUUAGCUUGUUGGUGGGGUAACGGCUCACC
Molecule: ribosomal RNA, 272 nt
Filed under: Escherichia coli
Lineage: Bacteria; Pseudomonadati; Pseudomonadota; Gammaproteobacteria; Enterobacterales; Enterobacteriaceae
Description: partial 16S ribosomal RNA
Rfam family: Bacterial small subunit ribosomal RNA
Source: RNAcentral